Molecule: long non-coding RNA, 661 nt
Filed under: Phascolarctos cinereus (koala)
Lineage: Eukaryota; Metazoa; Chordata; Mammalia; Diprotodontia; Phascolarctidae
Description: lncRNA (ENSPCIG00000037473.1)
Source: RNAcentral
UCCUGAGGGAAUGCUAAUCAUAAGAAAUUGUAUACAAUACCUUUCUUCAGUGUUUUUAAAGGACCACCAGGACUUUAAUUUCUCAGGACCAGGCUGAAACAGAUAUCACUGCUCAACAAGAAUAAGAUGAAAAACCAUCAUUUUAAUGGACUUGAUGCAGGCUGCCAUGUCAUGAUAGCUCUCAAACUGCUCAGCCAAUUUGACCUUCUGCCUCAGCUCAUUUUUAUCCAUGACUGAAUAGUCUGUGCCAGCACCAAUAACAGUCGAGUUGAGUUGUUCUAUUGGAGCAAGCCACCAAGCCUGGGAAGAGGAAUUUCAGAGCAGUUAAGAUGAGAGCCCAACAGCUGGCUAUUUGUAUUAGUUUGGAGUGGGCUGACUAAUGCCACAAGUAAACACUUCUGAAAAACUGACCACUUUAACCAACGCUUGAAAUGUGACUAUUAACUCUCUGAAGUACUGCUGGAAACUCAACCUGAAAUCUCCUCCCAGGGUAAUUAAUUCGCAGAGAGAAACGGUGCCCUGAAGCAAGGCACAACAUCUGUACAUAGGUACAAAAGAGAAGCAUGAUUAUGGGGAGACAUUUUAUGUAUGCAUUUAAGCUUCAACGUAUUUUUAGCAGCACUUGUAGAACUACUUACUUACUUCUCCCUGAGAAGCUCCU